Molecule: long non-coding RNA, 208 nt
Filed under: Homo sapiens (human)
Lineage: Eukaryota; Metazoa; Chordata; Mammalia; Primates; Hominidae
Description: HSALNT0352190
Source: RNAcentral
UAUGAAAGGGAAUGUUCAGUUCUGUGACUUGAAUGCAAACAUCACAAAGAAGUUCCUGAGAAUGCUUCUCUCUAGAUUUUAUAUGUCAUCCCGUUUCCAACGAAAUCCUCAAAGCUAUCCAAAUAUCCACUUUCAGAUUCCACAAAAAGAGUGUUUCAAAACUGCACUGUAAAAAGAAAGGUUCAUCUCUGUUAGUUGAAUACACACA